Molecule: unclassified non-coding RNA, 203 nt
Filed under: soil metagenome
Description: partial contains 5.8S ribosomal RNA, internal transcribed spacer 2, and large subunit ribosomal RNA
Source: RNAcentral
AACCUAGCACACCUGCGGUGUGUACCUGCGGAGGGAUCAUUACCUAGAGUUGUAGGCUUUGCCUGCUAUCUCUUACCCAUGUCUUUUGAGUACCUUACGUUUCCUCGGCGGGUUCGCCCGCCGGUUGGACAAAACUUAAACCCUUUGUAGUUGCAAUCAGCGUCUGAAAAAACUUAAUAGUUACAACUUUUAACAAUGGAUCU